RNAcentral lists this ribosomal RNA (384 nucleotides) under Triticum aestivum (bread wheat). Its description in RNAcentral is "partial small subunit ribosomal RNA". The record is from RNAcentral. Lineage: Eukaryota; Viridiplantae; Streptophyta; Magnoliopsida; Poales; Poaceae.
AUGAUCUUUAUGAGAGAAAAAACUACAAAAUGGAAAUCUGUAAGUUCAACUACAUAUAUUACAACAAUUGAAAAUACAAAAAAUUACAUCAGUUCAAUGACAGAAAAACAUGAGUUCGAAAAGUUUUUGACUCUUGAACUGAUAGCUGAAAGAUACGAUAUGUGUACUGUUGAUAAUCUCAAACAUGUGUUACUCAACUUUAGAAAACAUGUAAAAUUGUUGUGCUGCUUUGCAAUGUCUCCAGUAGUCCUACUUCUCCAUGACGACAAGGACGACGUCGCCAUGCGUGCAUGCUCCAACCUGUCCCCUGUCGCAGCCCCACCACUCGAUGCCGAUGCACUCCAACCCGAGGACCACCAUGAUGGAGGUCGCCUCACAGCAUAG